This 585-nucleotide ribosomal RNA is filed under the name Triticum aestivum (bread wheat). RNAcentral describes it as "partial small subunit ribosomal RNA". Lineage: Eukaryota; Viridiplantae; Streptophyta; Magnoliopsida; Poales; Poaceae. The record is from RNAcentral.
AUGUUCACGCAUGUAGUUGAAACAAAUCAACAUAGCCUUCAUGAUAUUCAUGUUCAUGGUGGAUUAUAUCCUACUCAUGCUUAUACUCGGUGUGAAUUAGUUUUAAUGCAUGUUUAUGACUGUUGUCGCUCUCUCAGUUGGUCGCUUCCCAGUCUUUUGCUAGCCUUCACCUAUACUAAGCGGGAAUACUGCUUGUGCAUCCAAACUCCUAAAACCCCAAAGUUAUUCCAUAUGAGUCCACCAUACCUUCCUAUAUGCGGUAUUUACCUGUCAUUCCAAGUAAAUUUGUAUGUGCCAAACUCCAAACCUUCAAAUGAAAUUCUGUUUUGUAUGCUCGAGCGGCUCAUGUUUCAGCUAGGGCUGCCUAUAUAUUCCAUGCUAGGUGGGUUAUUCUCAGUAGGAGUGGACUCCGCUCCUCAUUCACGAGAAAGGGCCGGUAACCGGGAUGCCCAGUCCCAUGAUCCAAAAAGAUCAAAGCAAAUAAAUAUAAUUAAACAAAACUCCCCCAGGAUUGUUGUUAGUUGGAGGCACUCGUUGUUUCGAGCAAGCCAAGGAUUGAUGCUUGUUGGUGGUGGGGGAGUAUAA